CAUCUUUAAUAGGAUGUUACGAUUGUGUGAAUACAUAGCACAUUCGAGGUAGACGCAGAGAACUGAAACAUCUAAGUACCUGCAGGAAGAGAAAGAAAAUUCGAUUCCCUGAGUAGCGGCGAGCGAAACGGGAAAAGCCCAAACCAGCAAGCUUGCUUGUUGGGGUUGUAGGACUCCAAUAUGGUAGUUCUUUCAGAUAGUCGAAUGACUUGGAAAAGUCAGUCAAAGAGGGUAAAAACCCCGUAGACGAAAUGUGGAAGACACCUAGGAGGAUCCUGAGUACGGCGGAACACGAGAAAUUCCGUCGGAAUCCGGGAGGACCAUCUCCCAAGGCUAAAUACUCCCUAGUGACCGAUAGUGAACCAGUACCGUGAGGGAAAGGUGAAAAGCACCCCGGAAGGGGAGUGAAAUAGAACCUGAAACCGUGUGCCUACAACAAGUCAAAGCCCGUUAAUGGGUGAUGGCGUGCCUUUUGUAGAAUGAACCGGCGAGUUACGAUUGCAUGCGAGGUUAAGUUGAAGAGACGGAGCCGCAGCGAAAGCGAGUCUGAAUAGGGCGUUUGAGUAUGUAGUCGUAGACCCGAAACCAUGUGAUCUACCCAUGUCCAGGUUGAAGGUGCGGUAAAACGCACUGGAGGACCGAACCCACGUACGUUGAAAAGUGCGGGGAUGAGGUGUGGGUAGCGGAGAAAUUCCAAACGAACUUGGAGAUAGCUGGUUCUCUCCGAAAUAGCUUUAGGGCUAGCCUCGGAAUUGAGAAUGAUGGAGGUAGAGCACUGUUUGGACUAGGGGCCCAUCUCGGGUUACCGAAUUCAGAUAAACUCCGAAUGCCAUUCAUUCAUAUCCGGGAGUCAGACUGUGAGUGAUAAGAUCCAUAGUCGAAAGGGAAACAGCCCAGACCACCAGCUAAGGUCCCAAAAUAUAUGUUAAGUGGAAAAGGAUGUGGGGUUGCACAGACAACUAGGAUGUUGGCUUAGAAGCAGCCACCAUUUAAAGAGUGCGUAAUAGCUCACUAGUCGAGUGACCCUGCGCCGAAAAUGUACCGGGGCUAAACAUAUUACCGAAGCUGUGGAGUACACCUUUAGGUGUAUUGGUAGGAGAGCGUUCUAAGGGCGUUGAAGGCAGAUCGUGAGGACUGCUGGAGCGCUUAGAAGUGAGAAUGCCGGUAUGAGUAGCGAAAGACAGGUGAGAAUCCUGUCCACCGAAUGACUAAGGUUUCCUGGGGAAGGCUCGUCCGCCCAGGGUUAGUCGGGACCUAAGCCGAGGCCGACAGGCGUAGGCGAUGGAUAACAGGUUGAUAUUCCUGUACCCGUUGUUUUUGUUUGAGCAAUGGAGGGACGCAGGAGGCUAAGGAAUGCAGACGAUCGGAAAUGUCUGUCCAAGCAGUAAGUCUGAAGAGGAGUCAAAUGCUUCUUUUCUUAAGGACAAGCUGUGAUGGGGAGGGAAAUAAUAGUACCGAAGUUCCUGAUGUCACACUGCCGAGAAAAGCUUCUAGUGAGAAAACAGCGGCCCGUACCGCAAACCGACACAGGUAGUCGAGGAGAGAAUCCUAAGGUGAGCGAGAGAACUCUCGUUAAGGAACUCGGCAAAAUGACCCCGUAACUUCGGGAGAAGGGGUGCUGAUCAUACGAUCAGCCGCAGUGAAUAGGCCCAAGCGACUGUUUAUCAAAAACACAGGUCUCUGCAAAAUCGUAAGAUGAAGUAUAGGGGCUGACGCCUGCCCGGUGCUGGAAGGUUAAGAGGAGUGCUUAGCGCAAGCGAAGGUACGAAUUGAAGCCCCAGUAAACGGCGGCCGUAACUAUAACGGUCCUAAGGUAGCGAAAUUCCUUGUCGGGUAAGUUCCGACCCGCACGAAAGGCGUAACGAUUUGGGCACUGUCUCAACGAGAGACUCGGUGAAAUUUUAGUACCUGUGAAGAUGCAGGUUACCCGCGACAGGACGGAAAGACCCCAUGGAGCUUUACUGUAGUUUGAUAUUGAGUGUCUGUACCGCAUGUACAGGAUAGGUAGGAGCCGUAGAAAUCGGAACGCUAGUUUCGAUGGAGGCGCUGGUGGGAUACUACCCCUGCGUUAUGGCCACUCUAACCCGCACCACU
This 2094-nucleotide ribosomal RNA is filed under the name Enterococcus faecium. RNAcentral describes it as "partial 23S ribosomal RNA". It matches the Rfam family "Bacterial large subunit ribosomal RNA", at positions 132 to 2236 of the family's 2925-position model. The record is from RNAcentral. Lineage: Bacteria; Bacillati; Bacillota; Bacilli; Lactobacillales; Enterococcaceae.